GUGCUCACUUUGGCAGCACAUAUAAUAAAAUUGGAAUGACACAGGGAAGAUUAACAUGGCCCCUGUGCAAGGAUGAUAUGCAAAUCCAUGAAGCGUUCCAUAUUUUU
RNAcentral lists this small nuclear RNA (107 nucleotides) under Microcebus murinus (gray mouse lemur). The record is from RNAcentral. Lineage: Eukaryota; Metazoa; Chordata; Mammalia; Primates; Cheirogaleidae.